RNAcentral lists this ribosomal RNA (392 nucleotides) under uncultured Paraphysomonas. RNAcentral describes it as "partial small subunit ribosomal RNA". It matches the Rfam family "Eukaryotic small subunit ribosomal RNA", at positions 30 to 432 of the family's 1831-position model. Lineage: Eukaryota; Chrysophyceae; Chromulinales. The record is from RNAcentral.
GCUUGUCUCAAAGAUUAAGCCAUGCAUGUCUAAGUAUAAACAACUUUAUACUGUGAAACUGCGAAUGGCUCAUUAUAUCAGUUAUAGUUUAUUUGAUGGUUCUUGCUACUUGGAUAACCGUAGUAAUUCUAGAGCUAAUACAUGCAUCAAACCUCGACUUUUUUGGAAGAGGUGUAUUUAUUAGAUGGAAACCAAUGCGGGGCAACCCGGAAUAUGGUGAAUCAUAAUAACUGUCGUAUCGAGCAAUCGAAGCGCCAUACAAGUUUCUGCCCUAUCAGCUUUGGAUGGUAGGGUAUUGGCCUACCAUGGCUUUAACGGGUAACGGAGAAUUAGGGUUCGAUUCCGGAGAGGGAGCCUGAGAAACGGCUACCACAUCCAAGGAAGGCAGCAGG